Molecule: long non-coding RNA, 2139 nt
Filed under: Triticum aestivum (bread wheat)
Lineage: Eukaryota; Viridiplantae; Streptophyta; Magnoliopsida; Poales; Poaceae
Description: long non-coding RNA (TAES_LNC019890)
Source: RNAcentral
CCCUCCCUCUUUAAUGAGGGAUGCAAAAUAAAAAAGUGAAGUAAGGGUGCCCUGUGGGUAUUUGAUCUUGCUCCCUGCCCCUUUUUUUCAUGGAAAAAGGAAAUAUCAAUUUCUCCAUUCAUUGAACCCUAGUUCGGGACUGACGGGGCUCGAACCCGCAGCUUCCGCCUUGACAGGGCGGUGCUCUGACCAAUUGAACUACAAUCCCCGCGGGGUGUAUGGCAUACCCAUUCUUAAAUAGAACCAUAAGAAGAUUCGAUUCGUCUUUCGUACUCUAAGAAAUAGACGAAUCAUAUACUACAUACCCACAUAUUAUAUUAUACGUGGGUAUAGUGAGAGUGACAUAACUAGUAUGUCGUGAUUUUUUAUCACUAAAAAUGGAUAAUAAUCCAGCCUUCAAUAAGAAAAACUCUUUUGUUUGUAAGAAAGGAAUGAGAGAGAUAUGGAUUAGAAAAAAAAAAUUUCCCUUUUUUCUUUAUCUUUUAUUUCUAUAGAUCAGACAUUUUAUUUUAUGGAAGAAAAACAAAAGGAUUUAGUUCAUACUCACGAAGCCCUAGAUUUUUGGUUUGGGCCGAGCUGGAUUUGAACCAGCGUAGACAUUGUCAACGAAUUUACAGUCCGUCCCCAUUAACCACUCGGGCAUCGACCCAGGAAGAAUUUAUUCUAGGGUUUUUGCUAAUCUAUGAUUAACCUCCUUUCAUAAUACUCCCUACCCCCAGGGGAAGUCGAAUCCCCGCUGCCUCCUUGAAAGAGAGAUGUCCUGAACCACUAGACGAUAGGGGCAUCACUAGACGAUAGGGCCAUAUACAACCGCUCGUGAUUAUACUAUAAUCAUAGUAUGAGCAGUUUUUUGGAAUUGUCAAUAUACUCGAAAAGUAUAAAUAGAUCCAAAGCAAAGAGUUUUUCCAACUUUUUUGUUUGUAAGAAAGGAAUGAGAGAGAUAUGGAUUAGAAAAAAAAUUUCCCUUUUUUCUUUAUCUUUUAUUUCUAUAGAUCAGACAUUUUAUUUUAUGGAAGAAAAACAAAUGGAAGAAAAACAAAAGGAUUUAGUUCAUAUUCAUGAAGCCCUAGAUUUUUGGUUUGGGCCGAGCUGGAUUUGAACCAGCGUAGACAUUGUCAACGAAUUUACAGUCCGUCCCCAUUAACCACUCGGGCAUCGACCCAGGAAGAAUUUAUUCUAGGGUUUUUGCUAAUCUAUGAUUAACCUCCUUUCAUAAUACUCCCUACCCCCAGGGGAAGUCGAAUCCCCGCUGCCUCCUUGAAAGAGAGAUGUCAUGAACCACUAGACGAUAGGGGCAUCACUAGACGAUAGGGCCAUAUACAACCGCUCGUGAUUAUACUAUAAUCAUAGUAUGAGCAGUUUUUUGGAAUUGUCAAUAUACUCGAAAAGUAUAAAUAGAUCCAAAGCAAAGAGUUUUUCCAACUUUUCUGUUAUGUUUUCAUCUAGGAUUUUUUUUAGUUGAUCGUUAUAGAUUAAUUCUCCGUGCUUCAUUUAGUGUUCAGACCAAAAAUGCAUCCAUCCCGCACUAAGUCAUAAAAUUCUCUAAAAAUAUAGAGAAAGUUUCAAAAACAAAGAACAAAAGUGAAUCAAUUUAGUAGAAAAGUACUCUAUCAGAUUCGAACCAACGACUUACGUCUUAGCACGAGAUUACUCUACCACUAAUUUAAAAAGCCCUUUAUCGGAUUUGAACCGAUGACUUAUGCCUUACCAUGGCAUUACUCUACCACUGAGUUAAAAGGGCUUUUUAUUUAAUUCAAAAAUUAGCCACUUGGAUUUCCCAUUAUGGGUCUACUGCAUAAUGUACAUAUUAUAUAUAUAAUAUAUAGAGAUAGAGAGAGAGACAUUAUGUAGAGAUUGUAUAUGUAUAUAUCGAUAUCUUGAGAGCUCAAAAUAAAAUUAAUAAAAAAAAACAUACCCUACAUAACAUAUCCAACUCUUCUUGGUUCAGGGUUUUCCGUUUCCGAAGACUAGUAAAAUAGGCGGAUUCUGGAACCCCAAGGAUUCAACGGUAUAUGGAUAUGGAAAAUAUAAGAUUUCCGAUCCUAGCGGGAAAAGGCGGGGAACAGAUACCCAAUAGGAUAUAGGAUCCUUGGGAGGAACUUUUGGUAAUGGCCUUGAUCCUCUAUGCUAUUUUUUAUG